Non-coding RNA from Papaver somniferum (opium poppy), 73 nucleotides. The record is from the annotation of a RefSeq genome assembly. Lineage: Eukaryota; Viridiplantae; Streptophyta; Magnoliopsida; Ranunculales; Papaveraceae.
GGUUCCGUGGUUUAGUGGUUAUCACGUCUGCCUCACACGCAGAAGGUCCCCAGUUCGACCCUGGGCGAAACCA